This is a long non-coding RNA of Hypomesus transpacificus, 584 nucleotides long. RefSeq lists it as uncharacterized. The transcript is spliced from 4 exons. Lineage: Eukaryota; Metazoa; Chordata; Actinopteri; Osmeriformes; Osmeridae. The record is from RefSeq and is a predicted model, not a curated record.
UGCGCAUCCGUGGCGCUAAGCAUUCUGGUUGAAGCAGUCAGUGGUGCUGAGUAGAGUGCAAACAAACAAACAAACAAACGUAGGAAAUGGACCGAGUAUGAUUGAAAAGGACAUAUAUUCUUCCGGCUUCUGAUCAAACGGAUAUUCCAAAAAGAACAAGACGAUCAUGGAAAAAAAGAACCUGCAUUAAAAUUCCUCUCACUCCGACUUUGACAAUGGCUCUGAAGAUGCACAUGAUGUCAGGCACAUUACAGUAACUAAUGAUGAUUCUGAACCAUGGAGUACUCUCAGUGGACAACAAAGAGUAUUAGGAAGAGCUGAAGUGUCCCUGUGCAACCAGAUCAUUGUCUCGGCUGUGGAGAACCCAAUGAAGGGGUUCCAAAUGCCGUUGCUGGGGGUGGCUGACCAGGACGAGGAGGCGGUGGUUGGUCCGGGCUAUGUUGAUUGAUCUCUGGUGUUUUCAGAGAUCAAAAGAGGGAUUCAAGAAUUUAUAAUACAUUACAGUACAAUUCUAGUGCUAUAAUCAUUAGCUGUAUCACGGGCAAGGCACUAUCUAUAAUUCCAGUUAUUAAUAUUUGUGGCAA